This 29-nucleotide non-coding RNA is filed under the name Homo sapiens (human). Lineage: Eukaryota; Metazoa; Chordata; Mammalia; Primates; Hominidae. The record is from RNAcentral.
UGAAAGCGGACCAGUAGUGUGACCACUGA